UUGUACAUUCGAUGACGUAAAAACCAAAGUGUUGUCCAGAGGCUUUCAUUGUCAUGUGACAAAUCAUAAUUUGGAAGAUGUAUUGGAGAUAUUAAACAAUAGACGUGCAUAUGAAGCGUAUACCUACGAAAAUGAGGAACAUCUUGAACAAAGUGUUUACAGUGAACGUAAUAAACGUCUCCCAGCACCUGGUACAAGGGUCCACAGGGGACCACGGUGGUGUUGUGGUGAUGAAGACUCCCGUGGUUAUGGCACUAUCAUAGGGCACGAUAAAAGAGAUGAACGGGUGAAUGUUGAAUGGGAUACGGGA
Saccostrea echinata is the source of this 310-nucleotide long non-coding RNA. RefSeq lists it as uncharacterized. Lineage: Eukaryota; Metazoa; Mollusca; Bivalvia; Ostreida; Ostreidae. The transcript has 3 exons. The record is from RefSeq and is a predicted model, not a curated record.